CCAGCGGCCAGAGAAACAUCAUGUGGACUGUUUCUGUCUUGGCUACUCCUCAUCAGUGCUUUGAGCUGCAGGAAGUCAUGAGAACCAAGGCAACACAGGUGCAUCACCAGGGACUUGCUCUUCUCCUGGUCUACUGAAGCACAGCACAAAGUUUCAUCCUUUGCUUCUGCAGAUCUCAUGGAUGUGCCGAUAAACUGCCAUUUAGUCCCGAGGCUGGACAGAAAUAAAUCACCAGAUAAAAUACAAUAUUCCUAGUGAAAACCCUUAUGGAAUGCGUUCUUGCCCCUAACUCCUCCUGGAAUAGGCACAGCAAUGCUCCCUGAGACCUGGCAGCCCUUCUAAGUGAGCAUAUGGUCUGCUCAGCUCCUGCGGUACCAGUGCACGGUGAGUAAACACGCCGUAAUGUCAGAGCAAACAGGGGGCUGCUUAACAGCAUGAAAUUCUGUGGCUACUUCAAAACUUCAUCAGUACUUCAGAAAUGGAUUUCCCUUCUCUGCUGGAGCAUGCACUGUUAGCAGGACAGGCAGGAAAACAGUGAGACAGUCCCCUUGGAGGCUGAUGGUGUCUGUAACCAUCUCCCAUAAAGCUGAUGCUGCUGUGGAAGGCUCCUGGCACAUCAGAAGUUGCAUUUUCUGGUGAUGCUACAUUGCCUUCUUUGUUUUUCUGUGAUGUCCCCUGAUGCCAGGCAACUUGCACAGCAAUUGGAAUAGAAAGAGGGACCUGAAGGUAAAAAUCCCAAUGUUAAUCAGGGCUGCCAAAGGGCAAAACAUUAGCUGCAGUAAUUGUUUUUUUGAGGGAGUCACCAAGGCGGGCUCGUCAGCACUAGUAAACAGAUCCAGUCCUGCCUUUGUGCUCCUUGCACUGGCAGAGCAUUGCCCUGAAAUCACUGGAGCAGGGAUCGGGCCAGGAAUGAGCAGCUAAGUUGCAAAGCAAAUUAAUUCCUGCCAAAAAAGUUCAGCUAUGCUCAGAAGUAUGUAAAGUGUCUGAUUUGAGAAGUGUCAAGUAGCAUUUGUGACCAAUUAUCCAAGAUGAAGGGGGCAGAGCUAUGUUUACAUGUACUAAUCUUCAGCCAAAGUUUGAAAACUCCAAUUCAUGGACACGCAUCAAAUUUCCUUUCCAGGCUUGGCAUUUGCCUGUACGCACGCAGGCACAUUGCUCGGGGAUGACAGGAAAACAUGAUUAUGACUUGCAAAUAAUACAAAUAGAAAAAAGGAAAAGCGAGAGGAGCUGCCAUGCAGCAGCAGCGUGGUAAUUAAACUUAUACUGUGAUAUGCAAAAAGAAUAGUGGACCACUGCAUGAGUAAAAUAGCUUUAUCAGCUGUGCUGAAAUACGACGUGUUGUGUGUCUGUAUUGUUGUUUUUCCACAACCUGUGAAGCCCUUGGAAAUGCUCUAUGUAAAAGAGCAAGAAGUAAAAGGUGCCUCUGCCAUCUUCUGUUUAAUUAACAUAGAUAUACCAAUUUAAUGCAAUUAAUCAAGAUAGGAGAGAUUAAACAGUAACUCUCAGUUGACAAUGACAAUGUUGUCAUUGUUGUGGCAUAAGAAGGGCUACAAAAUGAUAGUGGUGACUGGGAACACUGUGAGUAAGAACAGGCUGGCUGGAGUCUUGGGAGGUUUAUGUAGAUGUAUUGAAAUUUAGGGACAGCUGAUUUUUCAUGUGGCCAAGUGUUUAUCUGCCCCUGCCCUUCCCUUUACCCUCUCAGACCUUCCAGGGUAAUCCCCAGAGUGGUAACAACUUUUAAAGCGAUUCCUCUUUCUUCUAACAGGUUCCUGAUGCCAAAGGUCUGACCUUAAAAUGAGCAGUGCAUAGGGCAAGAAUGGGUACUGUAGAGAGCUUCUGGCCUCCAACCCUUCCAAAUACAGCUAUUUUGGUAACCAGAACAGUGUAUUCAUGAUGAGUAAGGGAACAGAGCCUUCCAGUAAAGGGUUUCUCGGCACAUUAACUCUAUCAGUGCUGGAUACUGUGUCCCAAUUCAGGUUGCCUGUGACUAUUUAAGACCAUAAAUGCAGAUUUGCAGAAGUCUGUGGCAUUGUGUAAGUUCAUGGCUGUGCUUCAGUGCCUGCUGCCCCUGAAAACUGAACCAAAUCCCAUGGAUUUCCGUGUAGAUCUGGGAAAAAUUGCAAUCAUGUGCCGCUCUGAGUAGUUCAGACUUGGAUUUCUUAUUGGCAGGAGAGGCACAGCCUGGUUUGCUACAAUGCAACUGUCCUCAUUAAUGUUCUUCAAGCCCUGAUGUCCUGGGACCGCCAUGGUUGGGUCAGAAGAUGGCUGAGUUUUCCAGGCUCAUUCUCUUGUCUUCAGAAUGUUAAAUUGGGUGAUAAUGAGUAGUAACUGUGUCCCUUUUUAUGGUGAAGUUGACACUUGCCUUCUAGUAAACAGACACAGAGAUGACCCUCCUCAUUUCGCACAGGUCACCAAACAGCCCUGGGAUGGUAAGGGUUAUUGGCCAUUUACCAAACUCUGUUUGACUUGGGUUCAUGGGUGAGAGAUGAAAGGCUCUGUAUUGCAUUACCAGUCCCUGGGGCCAGCCGGUCUCCCUAAAGAGGCAUUUCAUUUAGCAAGGCAACUGCUGGCCCAUGGGAAUUGGAGAGCUGGGAAAAAGAGGACGCAGUUUCAAUUGCGAAUGUUUCCUUAGGGCAGAUGUCUUAAAGCCACACAGGAACUCGCUGCUUCACUGUCACAAUAGUUGCUCCAGGACACUUAAUGACCAUCAGGCUUUUCCCAUUAAUUAAUCUCCUCUUUUUUUCCCAACAAAACAUCCAUUAAGUUACUUGGGUUGUUUCUGCUUCUGCCCUGCUCUGUUUUUCUCCAUCUUCCUGAGGCAAGACCAAUGCAGCAGUUAUGAACUGAUACCUUUUCCAAGAGCUCCAGAUUUGAAAUGGGUGAAACAAGGAGCCUGGUAUCACAGUAAGAGCUGUUGGCUGCUUGGGAGGAGUUCUCCUGGACUACCCAAAUAUUUUCAUUAUUGUAGAGCAGAGAUGCUGACUAAUUUUCCUGGCUAUAGUGGAGUGGUCCUUGGUAUCGGGGUAGUCCAAGUGCUGACUUUUUACAGAUGAUAGAUGAAGUGCUUGAUGCUACAAUGGCUACGGGAAGGAGAAUACCUGUGAUCAAGGAUUCAACUCAGACCUGUCCUGAAUUUCUUAUGAUCUGAAAAUCCAGUGUUGUUCCAAAUUCAUUAUCACUGGUCAAAAUCCUCCUUCAGUUUCCUCACUUGCUGUUUGUGAUGCGAAUCCUGAGACAUUCAGAAGUCGUAUCUGUUGUUUGAUAGUUCUACAUCAUGGCUGUAAUAGUGCAUCUGCCAAGUCAGCAGCUUUUUUCUGUGUUUGUUUAUUUAUUUACUACUCCAUUUCCAGCAAGUUCUUGUUACCCAGUUCCCACUGACAAUGAGGGAAGAGGCACAAGUCAGCUCAGAAAAUGAACGACUAGAAGACUGCGUGGUCUCAGUGAUACUGCACCAUCCCGGUUCCUGCCUUCAGGCUGGAGUCACAAGUCGGACUUGGAAGAAGCAACUUUCGGGCAGAGAUGUAACUGCAGAGUGAACACUAUGCCAGGGUCUUGGGUUAUCUCAUGCAUCCUUUCUGUGUUGACUGCUCUGUGUUAGUUUUGCUCAGACAGAAGGUAGAGAUAAUCGAUAAUUUCUUUAUGGAUGAAAGCAACAGAGUUUCCUGACAUCUAGUAACUACUCAAUACCAGCAACUUACACAUCCCUCUGUGCUACUACUAUUGCUUUGAAGCAAUUUAUUUAAUCACUUGGACUUUAACUACUCAGAUGCAUUCCUUCCUGCUGCAACAGCAGGGAUACAGGAAGGGGUGUUUGAAGCCACGCGGUGAUUUCCACCCUGGAUUUCAUGAGGGGUUAUUCUUGUCUCAGAGAUGACGCAUUCAAAUAUCCUUCUACAGAUUCCAGGUGAGUUAGUCACAUUUAGAUGCUUCCAAGUAAUACACAGAAAGGUGCUGAGAAAAUGACGAGUCCCUGCCUAGUCAGAAAAAAAAGCUCAGCAAAAGUAGAUCAGAGCAAAUUACAUGGACCAGCCCUCAAAUUUUUCUCAGAAAACCUGGGACCAAAGGGCUUUUAUAUUCAAAAAUGUGUGGCCAACAGGGAUGCACGGUAUUUACUUUACUGACUGACCCAUGAGCUGCUCUCUGUCCCCAGAAACAGUUCAGGAAAUGACUGGAAGUAUCUGAAGACAUAAAAAGGAUAAUUAAGUUUCAUUGUGGAAAUAAGAGGGUAAUCUGUCCAGACAAAUCUAGGACCUAGUACUGAAAGCUAUAGUAUCUGAAUAUAAAAAAUGAGUAAUUUUGAAUAAAGAUGUCUAUCAGGACUGUAAAUUCAGAGAGUAAAAAAGUAGCUUUGCUUAAUAGACCAUCUCUCUCUCCAUCUCCCUCUAACUCAUUUUCUUAUUCUCUUUCUUCCUUUUGUGUUAUUGCAAAAAAUGCGUGUAAAAUCUGAUAUUGAGAAUGCUUUAGCUUCAUUUCAAUCUUCUCAAAAUGUUUAGUUCCACUGGGAAGAUUCUCCCUGUGAGAUAACCUCAGCCGUGACCACGCGAGGCUUGUGGGGUGAUUUAUUUGCAGAGGAACAACUGUAUUUUGAGGUGUCUCUGAGGCAGCCAGGUCCCCCACUUUUCUGAGACUCUCAAAGAUGUUUCUGAGCUGGCAUGAGAAAUCACCUGGGACUCUGAGCAGACCACAAGUGCUUAGGACAGUGUUUUCUCUGCACCUUUUUUAACCGAGCAGAAUUGCAGCACUAUAAACAAAUGUGAGUUUUACCUCAUUCUUAGGUGCUGUGAGUUAUGAAAGCCCACUCCAGAUGUAAUGAAUGUAUAGAUCAUUUUGACCAGAUCAUAAUCCAUUAGUAAAUAAUGCUCCCUGAAAAGGUGUGGGUGAAAUAAAGAACUUCUUGCUACUAUUGCUGUAUUGGUAUCAAGGAUUACCAAGGAGGCCAACACGAUCCUGAAGCUUUGUGCUACUGAUGUUUAAAUACAAUGCAGAAUUAACUGCAGGGUUUGGUUAGCAAAUUCCUUCCUGGAUUAGGAUAUCCAGGAUUUAUACUGCUGGAAACAGAACCCAAAACUAUACAAAGCUUACCUAUCCCUUGGCUUUACCACAAGCCCCAACUUCAGCUCACCGACAGUCUCGUGUAGCAUUUAAAAAACUUUCCCAUUUGGUUCCCCUGAUUUUGGUAGUGAUAUUAAUAAGCAAAUCAAACAGAAAUUUUCAGAAUGAGUUGAUCCUGAUAGAGCAAACCCCUAUAACACCUGUGACUUUUCUUCACUGUCCCUGGAGGAACCCCAAGGAUACCAGACUAAGACCUGAGGCCAAUUGUCAGCACAGUCUAUGGGCCAUGGGAAGGUUAGGUUUAAAGAUGACACUUAAGGGAAAUCUAUGUGACACAUACUGUGGUGUCCAGAGAUUGGAGACUAUGUAUUGUGCUCUAAAUCUAGAGAGGAAGUCACUAGGAGGAAAAAAAAAAAAGAAAGAAGCACGGGGGAAUAAAAGUACUUUUGAAAGAGAAGAAAUCUACAUUUCAAUGAAAAUCCUUUCAAGGCAUUUCAAAUAAGAGUCUGAGAGAAAUAAUUACAAAGUUUGGAGAGAAAGAAUGUUAGCUUUGAUAUCUUUUUCUUCUAUGAAGCAAUUAAAAUAAGCAAUUUUUCAAAUACUAAGCAGAAAAUUACUAAUGGCUGAACCCAAAAGCUUUCAUUUCCUUUUUGGGGCCUUUAUUCUUCUAAAAAAAGACAAAAAAAAUGUGAAGGUGGUUUUCCAGAUAGAUUAAUGCAUAAAGCAGUCGCUAGUUGGAUGUCAUAAAAACUACAGCAGCAUAGAAUAGCUGAGAUUAAGAGCUAGAUUUAAAUCAUGCAACAGUCCAGUUAAUAUCAAUGUCUAAUUAAGAAAUGCAUAAGAAGUCUGUAAUGUUGAUUUGAUGGAGAAAAACUCUAAUAGGGUUUCUUUUGGAAUUUUCCAUUUCAAUUGCUGUGUAGACUUUUAAUGGAUGUUCUAUCCAGUCUUUGGUAUUAGCAGGAAUCAUCCUCAAAUUAAAACCAAGGCCUAAAAUGGAACACAGGUAGACAAAUUAGCUGGUCUGGGAAGCAGUCUGGGUACAAUGACAAUGUGAGCUCAAGCCGAAACUUUAGUACAAAUAAAAGAGAACUAACGUCUCAAAUCUGGUGUGGAAACCCUCUCUACUUAUCGUUUUAAGCAAUUUAAAACCCUGUAAUUUGAAACAAUGCAAUGUUAACCCAUUUCCCCACCUCCCUAAGCCUGCAGAAAUCCAAUUCAUACUUAGGCAUCCAGACCACUUGGCAUUAUUAAUUAGUCUUUUUUUAUUUAAAAGACUUCCCAUAGUUAUGCAUAUAAGUAAUAUGUAGAGGUGGGUUCCUCUUUGCAUGCAAUGGGAUUCAGAGCUCACAGGUCCCUGUCAUUACCAAAGAACACCAUUAAUCUCCCACCCCUCUAUGGGUAACUAAAGCUCUUAAACCCUUUCAGCAAAACUAAACCUUCAGCAUCCUCUGUGUCCCAUGGAUCAUCCAGGACAUUUGGGCUCUGGAUAUGAAAGAGGAACUGGUUUUGUGAUGAACGUCACUAAUACCCUAAAGUUGCUAAAUUAGGAGCAGUGUAACUCUUGGUAUACACAAAUCCACUUUGCAAAGAGGGGGAAAGCACAGUGCUGGAUUAAAGUAGAAGUGUAUUUGUUAUCAGUACUUUGUUGUUGACCCAACAAAUCCAGAGGGAACUGUCUCAAGAAUCCAGGAAGAUGGCAAACUCAAAACAACCCCUCUGAACCAGGCAGCAAGCACACUGGGGAGUAAUUGUUAAGUUCAUUAGAACACAUUAAAAUACAGUACAUUGGCCAUGAUAAAGAGAGCCAUGUGAUUCCACCUCUCUCCAUGUUUCUUUCCAGUAGUAAAUCCAUCCAGAGACCUUUCAGAAUUAUAUCAUUAAGUCUUAUCACUUCCACAGAGAGUGGAAAAGACCAGAGGUAAAAAUCAGAGUAACAGUGAAAUUUUGGCACUCCUGAGCCACUUCUUUUUUUUAGGUCAUUGCCUGAAAUGUCACGGUCCAAAUUCAUGCCUGACAUUGCUCCAUUGAUCCGUGAGGCACAAAUAUGUCAUGUUAAGCAGUGAUACUGUGGCCCUAGGGGAUGCCCCAAAGAUUUUUCUCCUUGAAAGACAUGGGAACUAGGAUGUUCCCAGUGAGGCAUCUGCCUUCUGAAUGAUAGAGAAAGUCUAAUGUGAGGACAUUCAGGUCAUCACAAGAGUCUGAUUUUUUACCCUGCUCCUGACUUUGUGACUGGGGAGGUACUGUGGGUAGGGAUGCUGAUAGAUGAUUGUUCAGGUGGAGCACUGCUCUAGCAGGAUGAUUUGUCUGCAACCUUUGUUAGAUUUAUGCAAUACUUAAGAAAAGAACAAAAGUAUGAAGCAGAUUGGCUUUUGCAAAGGAAUGCAACAGAAAAACAAGCAAACCUUAACUUGUCCAACACACUUGAGAACCACAAAUUCUGUUACAGUUUUUCUAAAUGAGAGGAAUAUUUCUCCUUUCCUCCGUAAAACCAUCCUUUUAGACAUUACUGCAGUUAUGACCUCACUGCAGUUCCUGGAUUCUUUCUGAAAAGGUUGAAAUGAACUAAUACACCAGUGAUCUCAUCACGGUGUAAAGGACAUCUUACACAGGGGAAAAAAUAAUCAGGAGAACUUCAGUGCUUUGUUUGCAGCAAGAAUAGAAAAAGCACUAUAAUAUCACUGUGGAAAACACUAAAGAUACAAUGCCAGAGAGGCAUUUUUCCAUCUUCUUGUAAACCAUUUGGAUUUGUCCUACCUGAUCCUGCCUGUCACACCUGUCAUCCUUUUAGCUGUCUCCACAUCAAUCAUCUUUCCUUUUUUCCUGCCUUAAUCUAGACCUUCCCAUGUCUUCUCUGUGCCCUUCCUACCUGUUUUACUGUACCUAAUAACUCUGAAUUGUAUGUACUACUAGUCUCAACUGCUUCCAAAAUGCAUUUUGCAGGGUACACACAUGCAGUCACGUUACACCAAAGCAUCUACACAUACUUAAUCUGUAACCUGUGUUGUUCUGGGGAAGAACACCUUUCCUAUGUGUACACACAGUUCUCAGGCCAAGGGGUCAUGGUUGAUGGCAGAUCUCAUCUGCUUUGGAGCUGUUGAAUCUUCUAACAGAAAUCAGAAAGAUGAGUAGGGUCAGAUGCUUUGCUUUCUUUGGUAGGAAAACCUAUAAAUUAAUAUUCCUGUAACUGAGAACCCUUCCACAUUUUUAAUAUAUCACAUUUUGAGGUUGGAAACUAGAAUAUCCUCAGAACACGAUGAGUAUAGUCUCAAUAAUGUCAUCUUAUCUUAUCUAGCCCACAGGUGCUCCUCAGCUCUGCCUUGGGAUGACACCAUGAAGCAAUGAGGUGACAAACCGGUUUCCUUUCUCAAGCCAAAUGUCACGUAACUGCCCAGGGACCUGUUUUGUUGGGGUUGCACCCCCUGACUUUUCAAGGAGAGAUGUGCUGCUGUGACCCAUCCCCACCCUGUACACCUUGCUGAAGGAGAUAAAACUGCUCACUUCCACCUCUGACAUUUCUCAGCCAGGAAGAAAGGCAGGAGGCAUCAGGCUGUAGGGAGAUAUCCGAGCAGACACCUGACAUGCUGACAAAGAAACCUCCAAAACCCAUCAAGUGGAGAUGAGUUCCCAGGGCUAGAGCAAGCUGAUAUAAAGGAUGUUGGUACCCUUAUACCCACCCAAAAAAGUUACUACUCCUAAACGGGGCAGCAGACAAAUCUGUCCAACCCCAAAUGCUCUGCAGUUGAUAGAUCUGCUUUAGUGAGGAGAGCCCCAGCCAGUGAUGAGUGUUGUAGGAGAAUGCAUGCUGCAGCAUCAGUAAAGUCCAAAAAGCCCAAGGAGCAGUGCAGAACAUCUGUUGCCAACAAGAAAAUAGUAUGUGAAAAGCUGUUGUAAUUCCUGGCCCCAGCAGCCUAACUGGAGGCACAGACUUCCCAAGGCAAAGAGGACUUGGAGAACUCGGGAUGUUCAAUGAGAUCUCUCCCCGCUCCUGCAGAUUUACCAGGUCAGCUCAGUCCAGGCCAAAGUUGCCGGGAAAGGUCCUGGGCUCUACUCCAAGUUCAUUGCUCUAUUGAUUGUGAAGAGGUAUUUAUUGUAGAUCAGGAUCUUGAGCCAAGGCAGCUGAAGCCGCACGGACUAAAUCGUCUAUUCCCCACCUACAGAUAAAACAAAUGGCCAGUUUUGGCCUAAUCAUCACUUCUGCCAGAGGAAAGAGAAACUCUUUGAGGUAAGUUCUCUCGGACAUAAUUCUUUCUUUCUAGGCUAAAGGGCUGGAGCUAAUAUAUAUCCCGAAUCGUAAUGUGGAUUUGCACCUUUCCUGUUAAAUAUAGCUGGUUUGUGUCCAAAGCAUCGCUCCUAUCCCUAAUGCUCACUUAUAUUGUUACAACUUCUACAUUAGUUGCAGGUGUGAAAUGCCAACUGAUCCACACUUCUCGUGCUGUCAGCAGGGGAGUAAUGUAUGUCAAAGGCCUGAUCCUCAGAGGGGAGGUCACCUGGAUCUCCAUUUGCACAUCUGCUUUGCUAAACACAAAACUCUGGAGGUUUGAAAAGCUCCAGUAUUCACAAAAUGGGAUGAGUUCACUGGGGGCCAUACAUAAGAAACUGUUUGUGCUUGUCAUUUAGUAGGCAGGUCACAGAAUUUUCCCUCUGUACAAAAUACUUGCUGUUUUACAACAGGCAAUGUUUCACUAGUCCUCAUAUGUGGAUACUUGUACGUUCUAUAUUAAUAAGGAAAAAAGCUACAUUUCUCCAUGUUAUAGGAUAUAAGAGAAGUCAGGAUACCAACAGGAUACCUACAGGCUAAAAUAGAACCACAUAUAUUAAACAGCUCCAGAAAGAUGCUAAUAUUCAGCAUGUUCCUGCUUGGAGUGUGCAGACAUGAAGAUCAGGAAACUGCCUGAUCAGAGAUCCUGGAGGGACAAUGUCGCUCGAGCUUGUCUUAAAAGACAUCCUGGUUUAGUUCUGAGGGUUUCAAGAGAAGCUUACAAAUAUUUCUAUUUCUUCCUGCUAUUGGGGGAUUUUUUUCAUACCUUGGAAUAAAUCUUCCAAAGGUAAUGUGUUUGCACUGGAUGCCUAGAUAAUGGUUCUUGCUCAGGGGACCUCUAAUACACAGUAGUGCCUUCUACACUUUUUAUAAGAUCAAAGACUAAACCUACAUAUAGGCUUAACUCUUUCUUGAUUUCUGCUAAUCUAGAAUAUCCUUCAAUAUCUGCAAUAAGGAUUCCCACAAAUAAUCCAUACAGAAGAUCUUUUUGUCUUCACAUUUUUGGCCUUUUAAUGUCAUCUGUUCAUGACAUCAUGAUUCUGGUUGCUCUGGACAUAUGGGAGAUUUUAAAUAUAUGCAUGCAAGCAUCAUUCACCACUAUGCACUAUGUUUUUUCUCCCUCAGCUGACUACUUCUAAAUAUUUUGGAUAGUAGAACCAAAAUUGAUCUUACUAUCCAAAAUGAGAAAAUAGGGAAUUAGUCAUCAGCUUUAUGUUUUGUUACGUGGAAUUUAGACUUAACAUCCCCAUAGUGACUUAGCUGGAAUUGAAAACAAGCUCAAAGUAUAUUGGGGAAAGCCAUGAACUGAACACAGAGGUCAGAGCAUGUUCCAUGAACACCUCAAAUUCCAACCCCGAGGAAUUGUUCAAAUAUGUCACUUGAAAAGGACAUCUCCUCAAGGAAGCUGUUAAAAAUAAUUUUCACAAGAAUCAGGAGAGGUUCACUUUUAAUAUCAAGGAAGGGAAGCACUUGCUUUUUAAAGAAAAGUUUGAUUCUGAAAAAAUCUCAUUGCAUUGGUAAGUUAAAGGAGCUGUGCUGUAGCAGACAGAGUGGCUUGUUUGGCUCUUCAUGGAAGUGGCUGUUGAAUUCCCAGGUGGCCUUUCCCCCUGAAAUUUACACCAGAAAUUCAGGGCAAAAAUUUCUUGUUUGAUCAGAAUGACUUCAUUACCUUCCUGACUAAUAGGAUUUGCAUAUGUUUCCCUGGGCUGUAGAUUGCAAAACUAAUAGACCCAUGAAAAGAAAUGGAGAAAGAAAUACUGAUUUUCUUGGCAUGAAAUACAGAAAAAUUGGGCCUGAAAAACGUUUGAGUAUAAUAUGCUGAAAGUUUAAAGAAGCAUUUUUAAAGAAACAUUUUCCAAGAGCAUGCCUGUUAGUUUUAUCUCCAUUUUUGCCACGUAUAAUUAUGAGAAACACAGACAACUCAUAAGAUUUUUAGUUUCUGUUGAGAAUUGUCUUUUCCAAGAUAAUUCUGUACACUAUUACUUUAGCCCACCGGGUAUCAUGUAGGCAAGGUAUAAGAUUAUGCACAUGAAUAUUUCUGUCUACCACUUAUGUGUGCUGAGACAAUAUCAACUUAUACUUUCUCCUGUCAUUGGUCCUUAUUCCAUAGAGGAUAUUCUUAAUUACCAGCAAGACAAUUUGGUAAUAUCAUGUAAAGUGUAACAGCAUAAUUUCUGUGAUGAUUUACACCUGCUCAGGAUCUGAACAUUGGAUUUUAAAACAUAUUUUAAGUUCAGAAGAUCGAGGGUAUUUUUUUCUAUGAGCCACUUCUUCUAUUUUUAAUAGAAAUACUCUCAUUUAUUUAAUUUAUUAGCAUGGUUCUUCUAAGUGAAAUGGAGCUUUUGUACACAAAGACACCAUUUUUACACAUUUGCACUGCCCUGAAAAAUUUAGAGCACACUUCUGUACUGGGUUAAAUCAACUCAAGCCUAAAUGCCUAAACACUAUUUUUGACAGCAGUGCAUGAGGGACAUACCUGUACAGGGAUUCUAAAGAACAAAAACCCUAAAAAUAUCUCAGUUGCAAAGAAACUGUAUUCCUUUUUCCACUUUGUAAUUGUGGUUAUAUAUAUUCUUUUUAACCCUUGCGGGUUUAUUCCUAAAUCUGUUAGAAAUGAUUGAAAUUAUUCCAUUAACUCCAACAGACUCUGCUUCCUGCUGGAUUAAAGGAGACAUUUGUGUAUCAGAUUUGCUGGUGAUGUCCCACUAAUGAAAUGGGGAAUUUUAUAAACAGGUCAGGGAGGGUAAGUGCCCAAUAAAAAGAUGUCAGAUAGAGAUCCACAAAUUACAGUCUAUUUGUAACAGAAAUAAAACAAGGAAUGCUUACUAAAGAGUCAUGAAUUUCUUUAUAAUUGCUUCCACAUUUGGGCCAACUUCUUCCUAAAUCGUCUACAGAAACCCUGCAAUUCAUGGGACUUUUGAUAGUGGUUAUGAUCACAACAAUACAUCUCAUUUAUGAUAAAAAUUACUUACUUUGGAAAGGAUUGUUUUUUUCCUCAAAUUGCUUUUCUCAGUCUUUAUUUCAAUCUCCAGCUAUUUUCUUAUCCUCCUCCUCAUUUUCUAUUUCUAAUAUAAAAACUGGAGUUCUUAUCAAUUUAGAAAAGAAAUAAAACUAAAGAAAAUUCAGAACUGUAAAGCAUGGUCUAUUUUAAAGUUCCAGCUCAGAUAAUAAGACUGUGGUUUGUGCUGUACCUCACUCAUGAACUCAGUUUUCCAUAGCGCAUUCAGUGUUGUAAUAAUGCAAAUCAAAUACAAUUUUAAUAACUCCUUCCAUUAAAAUGAUCUAUUAAUGUUUUAAGACUGCAACACUUAUGAGCAUGAUUCUAAUUGCAUGAUUUUGCUGCAGGCAAGUUUCAUAGAUCUGCCUGAUCUUUGGAUAUUUGCACUGUUUGGAUAAUUUUAAAUAAUUAAUUUUUGGAAGCGUUUCAGUCUCUGUAACAAGAGUUGGGUUUGAUAGUGGUUGUCUUGUCAGUAAUUGUAUGUAUCUGCUUCCAUUCAAAGGAAAAUGAGACAAAUUUAGAACUCUUUGAAAGGAGAUGACUGAGGUGUAUACUGUGACAAACAUUAUGAAGAACACUCUAAAGAGGGGAAUAUUUAUAGACUAUGUUAAUACAAGGAGCAAAAGAGGUUUAAAGUGAAUAAAAUUUUUUGUCAUGCAGCAUAAUUAAAUUGCAGGAUUUUCUGCCACAGAAUACCAAAAAUAUAAUCAGGCUAGAAUACCAUUAAACAUUCUUGGUUUAUGCAA
Molecule: long non-coding RNA, 13054 nt
Organism: Chiroxiphia lanceolata (lance-tailed manakin)
Lineage: Eukaryota; Metazoa; Chordata; Aves; Passeriformes; Pipridae
Exons: 4
Source: RefSeq, a predicted model, not a curated record